GCGGGCUCGGCCGCAGCCCCCGGGCCGUGAGGCGGUGGCAGCCGGGCCCCCACCGCCGACAGGGCGGCCGGCAGGGCCCCCUUGAUGAUCCUUAGGGUCAGCUCUCACAGGUUCUGUGAUGUGCUGGGCAGAUUCAGCCACGCCAGCCUCUGCCCAGUCCAUCUGCCUCACAGCUCUGGCACAGAGUUCACCCCAUGGCAAGAGAAAGCCAGAACGGAGCUGCAUCUUUCAGUUCGUGUCCUCAGUGGAGCAAAGGAUUUUUGUCUUUUUACCCUGAAAACUGCUAGCAGUGAUGCUGGAGGUGACCACUGGCCUCACGUUGGAGCGAUGGAGAACAGAGAAUUGUCCUUCAGAGAAGUGACCUGCAAAAGCGAACUGGUUAAACUCCUGCUCUGGGCAGAGCUGCUUUACACCAUGCUCCUUCCACUCAACCUGCUUUGUUCAAGAGUUUAAAUUUAGACCGCUUAAGAGGAAAAAACAUUUAAAGAAAAUCCCACAGGUUUCUAGCAGUCAGGUGUCAGCGUUUUGUUUUCAUUUUUGUGGUUUUUAACCCAUAUCAUUUCACACAACUGUCCCAACAAGCAGUCUUAAAUAGUUAAAUAUGACUAAAGGAAGAGAUCAUUGUGUUGCAAAUAUCAACAGGGAAAAAUUUUCCUGAAAGAUUGUUAUGCCUUUUUUCUGCCACUUGCAAUUUCCAACUGUGCUAGGUAUUUGUAAGGGUAAGAGACUAAGGAGUGAGUGAAAGAGAUUAAAAAAUGUACAAGAACAUCAGGAAAUAAGAUUGUCUUCUGAGCAUGGAGCUGAUCUGAGUGGGAUGUGGUCAGUGGAAGGAGCAAUGCUAGGGACAGCGAGCACCGAGGACGGACAGUGGGUCAGGUAUGGGCUUGCACAAGAGCGCUGCGGGAACAAGAGCAGCACUUUAAUUUGAGGUUUUGCGUGGAGAAACAUCACCUCUCCCUGUGAAUCAGAAAGGCUAGAGAGGAGUUUUAGGCUUAGCAAAUCCUUCGCCUGACUUCCUUACCGAGGAGCGCUGAUUCCCCGUACCAGACGCAGGAACUGGGCCGCAGACUCCCAGGAGCGAAGCACGACCCAGCCCAAGGCUGGCUGCUACCAGGACAGCUCGCCCAGGGCUAGCAGAGCCCAGGGGCUGCGUGCCAGGCGCUGGCCACCCGCUCGCCCUUCUGAGCUUCCCCGCCUGGGAGCAGCCCGCACCAUCGCGCUUCGCCCUAAAUCACAUCCCACUUCGGGCUGCGGAUUCACGCGAUUUUUGACAACCCUCGCUUACCAAAAACCUUUCCCCAAGCCCCAGGGCGACAAGCCCGCAGUGCCGCUGCCUCCCUUCCCUCCGCGACCACCCCCCCCCCAGAGCGGCAGCGGCACGACGGGGACCCGACCUUCCCCAAACCCCCCCCGACCGCCCCUAUACCCCCCCUUCAUCCCCCACACACCUCCCCCGGCCCCCUUCGUGCCCCCGGCCGCCGGGCGGAGCCCUCCCCGGGGCACCCCACAGCCCGGCCGCCCCUCGCCCUGCCUCCGCCCCGACGGGGCGGCCGCGGCCGGCGCCGCCCCACAGCCGGGCCGCCGGGCUUAUAUAGGGCGGCGGGGAGCG
This 1609-nucleotide long non-coding RNA is filed under the name Cairina moschata (Muscovy duck). RNAcentral describes it as "domestica (muscovy Duck (domestic type)) lncRNA (ENSCMMG00000000933.1)". Lineage: Eukaryota; Metazoa; Chordata; Aves; Anseriformes; Anatidae. The record is from RNAcentral.